RNAcentral lists this ribosomal RNA (454 nucleotides) under uncultured bacterium. Its description in RNAcentral is "bacterial SSU rRNA". It matches the Rfam family "Bacterial small subunit ribosomal RNA", at positions 340 to 786 of the family's 1533-position model. The record is from RNAcentral.
UACGGAAGGCAGCAGUGGGGAAUAUUGCACAAUGGGCGCAAGCCUGAUGCAGCCAUGCCGCGUGUAUGAAGAAGGCCUUCGGGUUGUAAAGUACUUUCAGUCGUGAGGAAGGUGUUAAGGUUAAUAACCUUAGCAAUUGACGUUAGCGACAGAAGAAGCACCGGCUAACUCCGUGCCAGCAGCCGCGGUAAUACGGAGGGUGCGAGCGUUAAUCGGAAUUACUGGGCGUAAAGGGCACGCAGGCGGUUAAUUAAGUUGGAUGUGAAAUCCCCGGGCUUAACCUGGGAAUGGCAUUCAAGACUGGUUAGCUAGAGUUUUUGUAGAGGGGGUAGAAUUCCAUGUGUAGCGGUGAAAUGCGUAGAGAUGUGGAGGAAUACCGGUGGCGAAGGCGGCCCCUGGACAAAGACUGACGCUCAUGUGCGAAAGCGUGGGGAGCAAACAGGGAUUAGAUACC